GAUGAGAAGGAAAACAAAAAUACAAUAUUGAACCAUUUUACAAGAUAAAGUUAUGAACCAAAUGACAUUAGUAACAACAAUAUCUAAUGGACCAGAAGUCCUGACAACCAAUAGAAAAGUUUUUGAUAUGCAUCUUCUACAAUAUUAUGUUCCUUUUUCUAUCUCAACAAAAGAACCUAUAACAAAUCAGGAAACCAAAAAUAAAUUUAAUUGACUACAUAAAUGGAGAGUGGACGACAACAAAUAGAUCAUCAUAUAAAGGCAUUACCAUUUUUUACAGCAAUUAGAGUUCACUCAUGAUUCACCAUGCAUAUUCCACAGCCACAAUUUUUAACACUAUUUUUAGAUCAUGCAUAAUAAGAAUUUCUUCCCUAAACUUGAACCAAUAAAAUAUUUGCUAAAAUUAGUGAUUAUGUGUGUCAGAUACUAAUAAUCUCAUGCAAAAUAUGAAGAAUAUGCUGAUGAAAAUCCAUAUGAUGCAGCACAAACCUAAGUGUAGC
RNAcentral lists this unclassified non-coding RNA (500 nucleotides) under Hevea brasiliensis (rubber tree). The record is from RNAcentral. Lineage: Eukaryota; Viridiplantae; Streptophyta; Magnoliopsida; Malpighiales; Euphorbiaceae.